CAACUACCGAAUACGGGGUAGAAGACCACAGACUCCACUGGGGACAGGGUGAAUGAAGGCCAAAUACUGAGCACUUAUUCAACUUAUUCCACAGGGAAACGCAAACUUCGUUGGGGAUAAAACCACAACAACCCAAAAUCCACCAAUAAGCAGAACGAACCACAAAGGUUACCGCUGCUAGAGGAAAAGAGAUAGGGCUUACAACUACCGAAUACGGGGUAGUAGCCAUACUCUG
RNAcentral lists this long non-coding RNA (235 nucleotides) under Lathyrus oleraceus (garden pea). RNAcentral describes it as "Pisum sativum (pea) long non-coding RNA (PSAT_LNC034838)". Lineage: Eukaryota; Viridiplantae; Streptophyta; Magnoliopsida; Fabales; Fabaceae. The record is from RNAcentral.